Ooceraea biroi (clonal raider ant) is the source of this 677-nucleotide RNA transcript. It is a transcript of the gene named mitochondrial import inner membrane translocase subunit Tim13, with no coding region annotated. Lineage: Eukaryota; Metazoa; Arthropoda; Insecta; Hymenoptera; Formicidae. The record is from RefSeq and is a predicted model, not a curated record.
CCGCAUACACGCAAUUCCCGGAUUUCAAAAACAUGGAGGCAUUGGCCGCGGGAAAUCUGACCGGCUCGCAGCGAGAUGAGUUAAUGCAGCAAGUGAAGCAGCAAAUAGCGGUCGCCAAUGCCCAGGAACUGCUCACGAAAAUCACGGAAAAGUGCUUCAAAAAAUGCAUAGGCAAGCCGGGUACCUCGCUGGAUAGCUCGGAACAGAAUAUAUAUUUCUAUUGCGUACAACGGAAAGAAAUGCAUAGCAAUGUGCAUGGAUCGAUACAUGGACUCGUUUAAUCUUGUAUCAAAGACGUACAGUGAACGGCUCCAGAGGGAGCGCAACAGAAUGCAAUCCAUAUCUAGACGGACGAUUUCCUGAUAUUGUUACAACACUAUAUCAGUAACUUUAUAUAAAUGAGGUAAUGGACAAUGUUCAGUCAUAAAAUUAAACGUACUUUUUAGUAAACACAUCAAAACGCUAAUAGAAAGACAUAUUCUAAAAAAGGAGAGACAUAUGACUAAGUUAAGUUACUAACAAGCAGUAACUGUAAUCUUCAUAUUUCCCUAAUAUUCAAAUUAUCAUAACACUUGUGUAGUUUGCUUGUAAGAGUAAUAAUACUAGGCAUAGUUUUACAUUACAACGUAGAAGGUAGUCUGUCUGAAGUUGAAUAAAAUUAAAUAAGUUUAUUUUUA